RNAcentral lists this long non-coding RNA (1746 nucleotides) under Homo sapiens (human). RNAcentral describes it as "HSALNT0087729". Lineage: Eukaryota; Metazoa; Chordata; Mammalia; Primates; Hominidae. The record is from RNAcentral.
CCCUCAGGCGGCCUGUUCCACGCCAGGAUUAGUUUUGCUUCGCAGAUGGGCCGUGGUGGUGAGAGGAAGCAAUCAGUAUGGAAAUGGAGAAAUGGCUUACCAUGCAUGUCCUUCUCCCCAGGAGGGAGGUCGUGGUGCAGGCGAGCAGACGCCAGACUCCUGGACACUUGCCGCCUGCGUUAUGGAGGCUUAGCUAAUAACCUUGCAGGGGUCUUCAGGCUUUUCCACUGGCUCACCUUUAGGCUUCUGACACUUUUACCUACGGUAUGUGAACCUCGAAAAUUUGAGACAGGUCUCAGUUAACUUAGAAAGUUUAUUUUGCCAACGUUGAGGACAUGCCCGUGACACAGCCUCAGGAAGUCCUGAGGACAUGUGCCCAAGGUGGUCAGGGCACAGCUUGGUUUUAUACAUUUUGGGGAGACAGGAGACAUCAAUCAAUAUGUAAAAAGUACAUUAGUUCCUUCCAGAAAGGCGGAGACCGUUAAAAGCAAGCCCCGCCCCCCCCAACUGGGGGCUUCCAGAUUGAAAAAAGACGAGAUUCCAUGAGACUAGAAAUGUAGGAGCAUCUCAGACCUUCACAGAACGCUCUGUUAGAAGAUGAGAAACAUAACGUUGCUUGUGAGAGGUGAAGCCAGCUGGACUUCCUGGGUCGAGUGGGGACUUGGAGAACUUUUCUGUCUAGCUAAAGGAUUAUAAGUGCACCAAUCAGCACUCUGUAAAAACACACCAGUCAGCGCUCUGUGUCUAGCUAAAGGAUUGUAAAUGCACCAAUCAGCACUCUGUAAAAUGGACCAAUCAGUACCCUGUAAAAUGGACCAAUCAGCAGGACGUGGGCAGGGACAAAUAAGGGAAUAACAGCUGGCGCCCCUAGCCAGCAGUGGCAACCCACUCGGAUCACCUUCCAUGCUGUGGAAGCUUUGUUAUUUCACUUUUCACAAUAAAUCUUAGGGUUGCUUACUUUUUGGGUCCAUGCCACCUUGAAGAGCUGUAACACUCACCACGAAGGUCUGAGGCUUCAUUCUUGAAGUCAGACUAAGAACCCACCGGAAGGAACCAAUUCCAGACACACGUGUAGUAGCAAAUUAUCAAAAAUGUUCAUUGCCUUUUCUGAAAAACAAUUUUCCCAGAAACACCUGGCAGAAUCAGAGUUCAUUGUGUCAAAAGAAAAACUUUGGACAAAUUAAAAUGAGCAAAGAACAAUUUGUGAAAUGUGCCCCUCUCCCAACCAGAACAGGUUCAAAGAGACUCCAGUGCUGCCACAUGAUCAAAGAAUUAUGGACAAAAAAAGCAAAUAAAUUACAGGAAAAGAAAAUGAGAUAAUGCAGUAGUUACUUUUUGAAGGACGACCGAAGCAGGAUAUUUCCCUGACCCCUUCAUGGGACCCACGUCAGAGGUGUUUACUCAGCCUGCUGCCCACAACUCCUCACAGGAGGGAGCGCACAAGUGAACGAGGGUGAGGACUGGAGAGCACCAGCACUGGAACAACCCGGCCACUUCGGCGCUACUGGGAUCAAACUCCAUCACUUGGACACACUGUGUUCCACCCCUCGUGGGAGGGAGCAUGCAGGUGAGAGGAUGCAGGAGUCAGGGUGAGCACUUUUGGGCUCCAGCAGGAGCAAACUCUGUGCAGGGCCCUGCAGCAGUGACUGAGGGGCGGCCUGUGACUCCCAAAGCCCCAGAGGACAUGCUACAGUGCUCUUUUAGCUCUACCAUCCGUAGGUGGCUUAAGUGUAAACAGCUCAGUGG